This 644-nucleotide ribosomal RNA is filed under the name uncultured bacterium. RNAcentral's name for it is "bacterial SSU rRNA". It matches the Rfam family "Bacterial small subunit ribosomal RNA", at positions 202 to 842 of the family's 1533-position model. The record is from RNAcentral.
UAAAGGAAGCGAUUCCGGCUACGGAUGGUCAUGCGUCGCAUUAGCUUGUGGGCGGGGUAACGGCCCACCAAGGCGACGAUGCGUAGGGGUUCUGAGAGGAAGGUCCCCCACACUGGUACUGAGACACGGACCAGACUCCUACGGGAGGCAGCAGUGAGGAAUAUUGGUCAAUGGCCGCAGGGCUGAACCAGCCAAGUCGCGUGAGGGAUGACGGUCCUAUGGAUUGUAAACCUCUUUUGUCAGGGAGCAAAGGGCGCCACGUGUGGCGUUUUGCGAGUACCUGAAGAAAAAGCAUCGGCUAACUCCGUGCCAGCAGCCGCGGUAAUACGGAGGAUGCGAGCGUUAUCCGGAUUUAUUGGGUUUAAAGGGUGCGCAGGCGGAAUGUCAAGUCAGCGGUAAAAUUUCGGGGCUCAACCCCGUCGUGCCGUUGAAACUGGCGUUCUUGAGUGAGCGAGAAGUAUGCGGAAUGCGUGGUGUAGCGGUGAAAUGCAUAGAUAUCACGCAGAACUCCGAUUGCGAAGGCAGCAUACCGGCGCUCAACUGACGCUCAUGCACGAAAGCGUGGGUAUCGAACAGGAUUAGAUACCCUGGUAGUCCACGCAGUAAACGAUGAAUACUAACUGUCCGGGCAGAAUGAUGCCUGG